This 452-nucleotide ribosomal RNA is filed under the name Klebsiella pneumoniae. RNAcentral's name for it is "partial 23S ribosomal RNA". It matches the Rfam family "Bacterial large subunit ribosomal RNA", at positions 761 to 1211 of the family's 2925-position model. Lineage: Bacteria; Pseudomonadati; Pseudomonadota; Gammaproteobacteria; Enterobacterales; Enterobacteriaceae. The record is from RNAcentral.
ACUUACUGGAGGUCCGAACCCACGCACGUUGAAAAGUGCGGGGAUGAGGUGUGGGUAGCGGAGAAAUUCCAAUCGAACUUGGAGAUAGCUGGUUCUCUCCGAAAUAGCUUUAGGGCUAGCCUCGAGGUAAAGAGUCAUGGAGGUAGAGCACUGUUUGGACUAGGGGCCCUUCUCGGGUUACCGAAUUCAGAUAAACUCCGAAUGCCAUGUACUUAUACUCGGGAGUCAGACUGCGAGUGAUAAGAUCCGUAGUCGAAAGGGAAACAGCCCAGACCACCAGUUAAGGUCCCCAAAUAUAUGUUAAGUGGAAAAGGAUGUGGGGUUGCUUAGACAACCAGGAUGUUGGCUUAGAAGCAGCCACCAUUGAAAGAGUGCGUAAUAGCUCACUGGUCGAGUGACCCCGCGCCGAAAAUGUACCGGGGCUAAACAUAUUACCGAAACUGUGGAUGAAC